This is an RNA transcript of Apis dorsata (giant honeybee), 1917 nucleotides long. RefSeq lists it as uncharacterized. NCBI's taxonomy places the organism in Eukaryota, Metazoa, Arthropoda, Insecta, Hymenoptera, Apidae. The record is from RefSeq and is a predicted model, not a curated record. The transcript is spliced from 13 exons.
AGAUCAAUUCUUAAUAUGGUAAUAUUACAUGAUGAAGCAUAUUAUGAAAGUCGAAUACCGCAACCCGAUUUAGGACCUUUUAGAAAUUUUUUGCGGUUUCUUUGGGAUAGAGAGAAAAAAGCAUUUCUCGACAGAACGGCAAAAGAGUGGGGUCAACUAGGAUUAUUUUAUUUUUGCUUUUUUACUAUUUUGGGAACAAUAUUUGCGGUACAAAUGAAGAUCAGUAUAGAUUACGUUUCUCAACUGGAUAAACCAUUUUUUCAAUACGUUAGUUCAAAAUCUGGAAAACCUUCACGUUUUACCCGAUCAACUUUCGGCAGUCCAGGAAUAGUUUUUAAACCAAAUAGCAUGUCAAUUGCAUCGCCUAUUAUUUCGGUGAGUAACUUAACUGGCAAUACCAAAUCGGAAAGAUACGUUCAAGCUAUAAAUGAUUUUUUACAAGAAUAUAAUAAAAAUAAAUCAAACUAUGAUUUAGACUGCUAUAAAAAACAUUUGAUAUCAAGACAUCAUAGAAAAUCUUGUUAUUUUAACAUACACAAUCUUGGAAUAUGUAGCAUACCUCCAUAUGGUUAUACAAAACCUUUAAAACCUUGUGUUCUUAUUAAAUUUAAUAAGAGAUUCGAUUGGAUCCCAGAAUAUUAUAAUUAUUCGUCCUAUUUGCCGCAUAACAUGCCAGCGAGAUUGAAGAAAGUAGUACAAAAAUCUCACAAGCCUUAUAUUUGGUUGUCGUGCAACGGAGCGAAUAACGUGGAUAAAGACCAUAUCGGAGAAAUAGAAUACAUUCCAACUCCUGGAUUUCCAGUUGAAUAUUUUCCAUUUACCGGACAGCUAGAUUAUAUGUCUCCUAUUGUCGCGUUAAAAUUCAAUAGUUUAACAUUAAAUAGAUUAGUGACAGUGGAAUGCUACUUGUGGGCUCAAAAUAUCGAGCAACAUUCUCGAUACUCGUUAGAUUUUCAAAUAAUAAUAGCCAUCACUGGAGCAUUCUAUACUUGCUUCUUCAGCGCGUUGGCCUUGCUCUUUGCUGUUUGCAUGAAAGGAUUGUUAGCUACACUAAAUUACGAAAAACCAAGAUGGAUUCUUGAAGAAAGUUUAAUAGGAACCAAUCCAGGUUUAGGAUUUCGACCGAUGUCUAAUAAUGCUGACGAACGAUCCUUAAUUUGGUACAGUUCAUCGGAUCCCAGUUCCGUGCAAAAAUGGACAGGCCUGUUAGAUACGUUUUUAGAAGAAUAUAUUAAUUCAUCGUUGUUGCCAAACGGUGGUAGGAAUCAGCAAAUUUGUAAUUAUAAUACACCGGUUAAACCAGGACACGUUUGCGCGGUUGAGGUGAACAAUUGGGGCCCUUGCUCGCCUAACCAUCAAUAUGGUUUUAAUAAUUCCGCUCCUUGCAUCUUCAUUAAAUUGAAUAGAAUAUACGGUUGGAUACCAGAAUAUUAUAACGACACUGAAAAUUUACCAAACGAAAUGCCACCUGAUCUUGUUGAACAUAUUAAAUCUACCAACAGUUCAUGGGUUAGUUAGUCGUUAAAUACCGUAUGGGUAUCCUGCAAAGGUGCAAAUCCUCAUGACAACGAGGAUAUCGGUGAAUUAAAUUAUUAUCCCGAAAAUCAUGGAUUUCCAGGAUAUUAUUAUCCAUAUCAAAAUAUUCCUGGUUAUUUAAGCCCUGUCGUUGCUGUGCAUUUUCUUCGACCAGCAAGAAAUAAAAUAAUCAAUGUCGAAUGUCGAGCUUGGGCAAAGAAUAUAAAAUAUGCGACGUCUCAAAAUCAACAGCAUGGCAUGGUACAUUUUGAACUUAUGAUCGAUGAAUGAUAAUUAUUGCAUUUCUAUAUAGAAAUAAAAUCUUGUACCUUCGGAUACAAAAAUAUCUGCAGAAUAAUGUGGACAACGGGAACGAAAGAUGUGUGGUAAAUUUGAAGAAAA